ACAAGUAGCCUAGAUAACAGCUGGCCGCAAGGUUAGAGGAAAGUCCGGGCACCAUAGAGCAAAGCGCUCGUGAAAAUGAGCGGGCCGCAAGGUUCGAGAACAGCGCAACAGAAAAUAUACCGCUAACCGUGCUUUGCACGGAAAUCCUAAAAGCUAAUCUCUAAAUUCUAAAUGCGGUACAAUUGUUUAGGAUUUAGUAUUUGGGGCUUAGAGUUUCUAUGCAAAGCAUGGCAGUAAGGGUGAAAUCGUGGGGUAAGAACCCACGCGUUCGUACAGCGAUGUGCGCCUGUGGCAAGCCUCGCUUGGUGUAAGUGGAGUGGACCGAAGCAGUCAACUUCUGCUCGAAGGGCUGCUUAGGUCUCCGCGCUUAGAUAGAUUGUUAUCAUGGCGAAUUGGAUUCGCCUCCUACGAAUUUACUAAUUAAACGAAAUUACGAAUGUAACCACACGGAUAUCCACACAGAUCGAACACGGUUGUCAUUUUAAGCCAGACGAGAAAUCUACGUGUCAUCAUUUCAGUGUCCAUCCGUGCAUUAAGUCAGUGUGGUUGAGUACUUUCGAGAAAUGAUUCGUACAUUGGUAGGGGGCGCGUCUAGCGCCUACAGAACCCGGCUUAAAGGCUACUUGUGGAG
This 631-nucleotide RNase P RNA is filed under the name Candidatus Berkelbacteria bacterium RIFOXYA2_FULL_43_10. RNAcentral's name for it is "RNase P RNA component class A". It matches the Rfam family "Bacterial RNase P class A". Rfam says of the family: Ribonuclease P (RNase P) is a ubiquitous endoribonuclease, found in archaea, bacteria and eukarya as well as chloroplasts and mitochondria. Its best characterised activity is the generation of mature 5'-ends of tRNAs by cleaving the 5'-leader elements of precursor-tRNAs. The record is from RNAcentral. Lineage: Bacteria; Candidatus Berkelbacteria.